UUGGGCUGACCACUGGGUUGGGUGAGCUAAUGCAGAUUACUACAACUGGGCCAAAGCAGGUCAAAUGCAUUUAAGCAGGGUCGAUUCAGAAGCAAAGUGGGUCUUAAAUGGAUCAAAGGAAUCCAGUUCCUUGGUGCCUAAAAUUGUGCCAUUUUUAGCUUACCAUGAAAUACCUAUUUUCAGCCUUAUUUUUCAUUUUUACCCAUUAACUUUCUCUCUCCAGAAGGCAUUCUCUCUUUUUUCUUUUGGCGAUAUAAAUUCUGGCAUCUAAGAAACCUAGAACCAGGUGAAAUCGUCAUUACCGUUGCAUCUUUCACUAGUCUGCUGUGUGCCACUGUAAGUCAUUAUUUUUGCCAAAAGCCCAAAACCUUGGUUGAUUUGUUCCCUUAUUCCUUGCUUAAACUUUUCUAAAACUCCUUAAUAAUCCAUUAAUCUAAUCCCAAACUUGUUUCUGCUAUAUUCUAGAAAUAGCUUCAGUCACCGCCCAAAAUCACCUAAAAUCAUCCUCUUUCUACUAAAAAAAUAUACCUACAAUUCCAUGAUCCACUUGCUGCCAAAUAGGAUGGAGAAUGAAACUUGGUUGAUUUGGUUGUUUUUCUGGGUGUUGUCGUGUUUUUGGUUAAUAAUCUAUGGAUGGUUUUAGUUUUGGGUUUAAUGGGUUGGUGCCAGUUUUGCUCUUUUAUUUUUGAUUACUAUAUAAUUUUGAUCCUUUUGACUUUUAAUGAAUUUGUAUGCUAUUUUGUUCUCUGUUUGUUGAUUUCCUCGACUGCCUCUAUUCACUGCUAGGGAUUACUUGAUCAAAAUUUGCCUCUUCUUUGUUGAUUACUCUGUCUUUCUCUAGUUAUUGUGAGCUUUUUUUUUUAAUCUCUUCUCUAGGUUGACGUAGAAUCGUGUACUUCUGUACAGGAUUCGAGAGAUUACUUUUUUAUUUGCUUGUGCUUCAAUUGUUUGCCAGUUGUGUUUGCUCUCAAUUUUUGCAGCUGAUUAGUAUCUAAUUAAGGCUUGCAGUUUGCCCGAACUUUUAUUUGAUACUUCUAGGUUACUGACUAAUUCUGAAACCUGUUUCCUUGACCAAGAAUUCCUUGGCUUUGCUUAGGACCACUUAUUGUUCUAGAAAUUGGUUGGAAAUUAUUGAUUGCUAUGUGUUGUGGUGAUUGCUUCUUGGUUUAUGUUAUGUUAACAGGAGAGGAAACAAAAGAAGUUUGAUGGUGUUCUAUUUUGACGAUGAUGAUGAUUAGGUGCUGAAUGUAGAGGCUUAGUAUGUGUUGGUAAUUUGGCUGGUGGAUGGCCUCCCUUUUUACAAUUGAAAUUGGUUUCUGUUUUAUAGAGAUUAAAUCUUUUUAAUUUUGAAAAUUUUCACAUAAUUUGGGAUUUCAUUCUCGUGAAUUAAUUGGUGAAAUUUUACAUGAAUUAAGCCCAAAAAAUCCAUCAAUCUAUCAAGUCAAAGAUUGAAUCCCUAAAUCCUUCGCCCCUUUUAUUUUUUUUGAUUUUUUUUAACCUUUUGGUCUUUUUGAAAAAAUAAAAAAUAAAAAAAAUAAAAUAAACAAAAUGGUAUAAUAUAAUAUAAUAUAAUAUUAAAUAAUAUUAAAUCAAAAAUAUAAUAAAAUAAAACUUUCUUAUUGAUCCCGAAACUUUUCAAUCGGGCCCAAUUAAUGAUCGAUAAUUCGUUUUUCAUUCUGAAAAAAUUCGAGCAAAAUAGGAUAUCUACAAUAUUCAUUUAGUUGAAAAUUAUAUGUAUUUUCUUGAAUGACUAAAGUAUGAUAUGAAAUGUAAGUAUGAAUAUAGUGAAACUUGAAAAUAAUUCUUAAGUAGGUUUUUUCUUUGGAUAUGAUUUUUAUACAUAUAUCUUUAUUUUCUUUAUAUGAAAUGCUAUGAUUUUUGUGAAGGUUUAUGAAUUAUGGAUUUGCAUGAAAUUUAAGAUUUUAAUAAGUGCUCUAGAAUUCACUUACUCAAACUUUGAAGUGAAAUCAUAUAUUAUAUUUAACUUAAGAGAUGUUCUAGAUAGUUUUUUGGAUCAUUUGAGCCUUUUUCAAGUCCACCUUGUGACAAUACAUCCUUAGUACCAUUUUUUUAAACUUAUUUACUAGUCAUUUUCUUUGUUUAUUUAGCGACAUUAUAAGCCUAAUAUGCCUUUUCUUUUAUUAUUAUUAUUACCUUUUCUUUUGUUAUCCUAAUCUAUUAUACUUAUUUGUGUAUCAUGGACAUAUUCUUAUAUUUGAGAGGAAGAGAAAUGCAAGGAAAAAAAGAAAAAGACAAAAGCAAGACAAAGUCGAAUAAAGCAAAAAAUGGCUAUCAUUAAAAAAAAAUUCACAAAUACAAAGUAAUAAAAUAUGCCUCACAAGUUAAGUUUCCAAAAAGAGCUCAUAAUUGUUCAAAGUCCAAGAAGUAAAGAAAAAGUAAGCUUAGAGUUUUGAGCUUAAAAAUUUAUUUUUCAUACAUUGACCCAAGCCUUACAUUACAAACCUAAAAGACGUUUUAAUCUUAAGUUGUAUAUGUAGUUGAAUAUGUAAAUCUAACAUUAGUGGAGAGAGAUGAGGAAAAUAGACAUAUAAAGCCUAUUUUAUUUUUAAAUUGAAAUGUGAUAAAGUGUUCCGUAUUCUAUUUACUUAAGUUAUAUGCAUAAUUUAAAGAUGGAGUAGAUUUGUAUGAAUGAAUAGCAUAAGAUAUUGAAAGCUUGCUUUUAGAAGAUAUUCUUGUGACUCUAUAUUCAUUCUUAAUUUUGUAUUAUGCAAUAUUACAUGUUAAGAGUUUUGUAUAAUUUUUGACUUUGAGGAUGCUUAUAAUAUUUUUUAGUUUUGUUGAUUUGAGAUUUGUUUAAGGACAAACAAAGAUUUAAGUAUGAGAGUGUGAUAGCACCAAAAUAUAUAGAGAUUUUAAAUGUUAAAAUAGUUCUAAAAUUUAAAUUUUUGGAUGAUUUGUGAUGCUUUUCAUGUUAUUUUCAUGAUUUAAAAAUUUUCAAGCUCAAGAUUUAUUUUCAUGCAAGCCAUAAUGUAAUCAUGCAAGGCUCACAUUCGGCCCAACCAUAUAAGCUCUAUUACCACCCAUAUUGAUCCAUAUUCAAACAUGCACAAGCCAUUUAAACCAAAAUCCAUUUAGCCAAGAUGGAACUUAAAGAUAAUCAAGCUUCCUUGCUUAGCCAAGAAGAGAAUGCAUUGCACAAGAACUUUACAAACUCCACUACAUUCGACCAAGAUGAAGUUGAAACUUACUAUGAAGGUUGUUGAUUACCUUUGAAGAACUUCACUUAGAGUAAGAUUUUAUCCAUUCAAAAUUCAAAAAUUGGAUAAAAUUUCAAGUCCUUUAAAACUAUAAGCCUUAGCCAAAUCUAAUGGAGGAAAUUAUCCAAGAUUUGAUUAAGAUGCAAGCAAAGGCCAAGAUUGAUCCACCAAGACUCCAUUUGACCAUGAAUACUUAAACAUGGAGAGUCCCAUUCGACCUUUAAAAUGUAGAAGAUCAAGAUAAAGCUCAUCCAAUUGUAUUUGAAUUAAAAUCAAACACCUUUGUAGUUUAUCCCUCUUGGUCGAACCAACGCCUAUAAAUAGACAAGUCCAUUCACUUGUUUCACCAUCUUUCUCCUCACUUCUUUUUUUUUUUUUGGUUUUUAAAAUUUUUUAGUUUUUUUAUUUCCUUUAGUUAAGGUAUUAGCUUAGGAGAUGGGUUUGCCAAUUACCAAGUUCUUGUUCUUUAAAUCUUUUUUAAUUAAGAAGUAUUUUCAUUUAAAGAUUUUUUUUCUUGUUUUCUUGUUUACAAAAUCUUGUUUCUUGUUUUCUUUAAUUUCAGCACAAGCAAUCUUUAAUUUUCAAGAUCCAAGUUUUUUUAUUUGCUUUGUAAGAUUUAGCCAUCACCUUUUUUCUUUCAUGUUCUUUAAGUUGUUUUCAUGCAAUCUGCAUUUUCUUUACAAGCAUUCGGCUAUUACUCCAUUUUUAUUUACUUUGCAGUCUUUUAAUUCUUUUCUUUAGGAUUAGUUGUUGGUAUUAAUUUUUACUUCCCAAAUAAUAGUUGGUGAAGUUUAGAUUCCUGCCAUUUAUCAACUUUAAUCUUUACUUUGAUCCUGUUUAUUUAAAUCUUGUAACCUUAAAAUCUUGAAUAUUUAUUUGUUUAGAUAUAGGAUCUUAUCCUUUAGCCUUUGGUACUUAUAAACUAUCUAACAUCAUUUUUUAUAAUCCUUGAAGAGAUAAUAUUUGAAAUAUUUCACUUUAUUAUUUGAUCUGUGCGCUUGCAGACUGUAUACAAAAAGUAACAAAUCAAGUGAUCUUAAAUUUAAUAUUUAAAAUAAUUCUUUUAUUUUAUUUAGUUUUUUUUUUUUUUGCAAAAUCCUUUUAAUACAUUUUAUUUAGUUAGGAAUAAAAUGAAAAUUUUUAGUGUUGAAAUUUUUUUUUCUAAAUUUUUUAAUAUUUAGGUGAAAUUUUAAAAAAUAUUUUUAUACUUGAAAUUCUCAUAAUAACCUUUAAAAACUGGCAUAAUAUUCUUUUAUAAAAAAUACCUUCUAAUAUCUAAGUAGGGUUUCAAAAAUAUAAGAUGGAUUUAAAUUGGUAAUUUUGUAUUUUUUAAUUAGUAUAUAUUUUUUUGACAAUAAUACAAUGCAAGUGAUAUAACAUAAAGUAAAUGGAUGAUGCAAAUACAAAUUAAAAAAUACAAAUUUAUCGAUUUAAAUCCAUCUUAUAUUUCUUUAACUUUAUCUCUUUUUAUUUUUUCAUCAUUAUUUUAAAAAACAUUUAGUGAUAAAAUUAUUUAUUUAUUUAUUUUUAUGUUAGAAAAAUUUUUUAAUCCUGCAAUAUCUAAGUGAAAUUUAAGAAAAUUAAUCAUUCACUUAAAAAAUUCUAAUAAUUAAUUUUUGGUAAAAAUGAAAAUGAUAUUUCUUAAUAAAAAUAUGUUUUAAAUUCUCUCCAAUAUUUAAGUUAGGAUUCCAAAAUCAUUUUUUUUUUUGAAAUACUAUUCUAUUUGUUCUUAAAAGAAAUUUUUUGAAAUUAUUAUUUUACUAUUUCACAUUUACUAUUAAUGUAUAAAAUGCAUAUAUAAAAAUAUGAGCAUAAAUUAAAUAAUGCAUGUAAUUAUAUUUCUUUUCUAAAUAGAUUUUAUUUAGGAUGAAAAUUAUAGGUUUUGUAUUUGAAAUAUUUUUGUUUGUUUAUUUUUUAACUUCUUAUUAUCUAUGUAGAAUUAUAAAACAUUGAUUUUUUCACUUAAGAGAUUCACAUAAAUAUUUUUAAAAUUAAGAUAAUAUUUCUUUGUAAAAAUAAUUAUUUGAAUCCUCUCCAAUAUUUAGGUAAAAUUUUUUAAAAUUAUAUUUACUUAAAAAUAUUACCUUAUGCUCUUAUUUUUAAAACCCCUUUUUUAAAAGAUUAUCUUUUAAUAAAAAAAUUAUUAACCGUCACUUUUUAUUCAAAUUUCCUUUAAUUUUAUCAAUCAUCCACAAGCAAAUUAUUUUUCAGAAAUAUAUAUAUAUAUAUAAAUGCAUUUUAUUUAUUAUUACAAUUAUUUUUUUUUACAAUUCCUAAAGCAACAUUAAAAAACCAAAAAAAAAAUUAAGAACAUAAUAAAAUAAAUAAAUAAAAGAUAAGGAAAUAUCCCCAAAUGAAGCUUUUGGGCUGUGAACCCAAUGAAAUCUACCCAAAAAAAUCAUGUAGUCCAAUCUUCAAGGGUUUGGGACUGACUAGGCCCAAACUACAGCGGCCCACCUCUUGUCCAUCAGCCCCGAGUAGUAUCAGCUAGGAACCGGUUAUCGGUAUGAUUGGCUAUGGGUCACUGGGUCAUAGGUCGUGGGUUAACUGUUUCCAGGCGAGCGGGCCGUGUGCGCGGGUUUAGGAUUCAGGUGCAGUUUCACGCGGGUUAGCCCCUUUUUUUGUUGACUAUAAAACACAAAAGGUUUUUUUUUUUUAUCCUCUUCGAAAAAAAAAAAAAAUCCCAAAACUCUCUAAAAAAAUCGAAAGGAACACUGGCCAUCCUCAAACCCAGAUUCCGGCCUGCACCACCGUCUCUGCUGCCGUCAGCCACCACUCUUUGACGCCAGCUUGAGCCCAAAAAAGCUUUUUUGAUUCCUUUUUCCUUCCUCUCUUCACUUUUCCAGUUGGUUUUGCGUAAAAAUCCCUAGUUUUUCCCUAUAUCUAGGCUAAAAGCCCUCGCUUCAACACCAUAAAAGACCCCUCUCCGUUGCACCAAAUCUUACCAUUUUCGACUAUGUUAUUCCUCAAGCCAAGAUCUUCCUCUUUUUCAAAAAUGGCUUCCCGAAUCUCUUUAAAACUCCCUAUACUGAAAAUCCAAAUCCCCCUUUUCCUUUUUUUUUUUUUUUUUUCUUUUUUGUCUUUACUGCUGCUGUUGGCGUUGUUGUUCCCCACUCCAUGGGAUGCAUUUUUUUGGUUGCUUGUUGCGGUUCACUAAUUUUUAAAAAUUUUUGGUUCGGGUGGGACUUUUUGGGGCUUGCUGAUAUGUUUUAGGCUUUGUGGUGGUUUUUUGGUCAUUGAAGAUGAUGAUGGUUGGUUGUGGUUUAGAUGGAGGAAUUGGGUUUGGAAGGGCAACGUAGGAGCCUGAACUUUUGCUUAAUGAAAUUCAGUGGUGAUAUUCAGUGGUAAGGGGCAGUAGAGGCUGCGGGUAUAUGGUCAUUGAAGGUGAAGGUGGCAUUUGUAGAAGUAGAGCAAGUAUCGAGAUUUCUUGCUUCUGAAUUGUUUGCUGUGUUUUCGGCUGUGAUGGUGGUUGUAGGUUGUUAAUGGGUGGUUUGGCUAUUGGUGGUGACUGUGAUUCGGUGGUAGUGGUGGUGGCAGUGGGUUAGGCUACAGAGUCUUUUUGGACUUUUGUUGGGUUUUUGUUUUCUGUCUCCCCUCCCCUGUUGUGAAAAAAGUUCGGUUCUUGUAGCACCGCAUUUCAUACAAGACAUGAUAAUUGAAUUCUUUGCUGCGCUGCUGCAAGAUGAUGUUGCAUUUAGGGCUUUGUAGCUUGCUGAAUUUGGGAGAAGGUGAAGGUGGGGCUUUGAGGGAUGGAGCUGCUGACUUUUGGGAUGUCUUUAAUCAGUUAGUGUUACGAGUUAAUGGGGUAAAAUGAAGGGGAAAAUUGAAGAGCUGUAAAUGAUUAACUGUUUGGGGGAAGAGAAAAGGGGAGAUGAGAAAGUGAGGGGAAGGCUGUUGCCAUGGCAGCCGACCCGCUCACAUUUCUUUUGAAUUUUUUGAAUUUUUCGUUUUUUUUUUUUAAUAUUUCAAUUAAUUAAAUUAAUUAAUCCUAAUCAUAUAAAUCUAUAAAACUCCAAUAUUUUGCAAAAAAAUUCAAGUCUUUUACACAUAUAUUCCAAAUUUAUAUAUUCUAACUUUAUUACAUAAAACACAAUAAACGUUUGGUUUCCUAAUGUUUAUAUGAAUUCUUGACUUUUGAUUUUUUUUUAUUUAUAUUUUUUAAAAUCAUUAUUUAUUAAAAUUUAUUAAAACACUUAGCUGACUAAUUUUAAAUUUUUUUUUUAUGAUUUAUGGUUUUUCAACUUUUUUUAAGGAAGAAACUAUAGUUUUUCAAUUUUUUUUUUUUUUAAGGAUGAAUAGCUAUAUAAGUGUAUUUUAUAUCUGUAUUAAAUUUUAUAUUCCUAAUCAUGAGGUUUAUAUUUUAUUGUGUUUGUAUUUUAUAAUUUUUUAUUUUUUAAUUGUGGUUUAUGAUUUUUUUAUUUGACAUUUCAAGGUUUUUUUAAUCUAUUGAUGUACAUUUUAGUGUUUGUAUUUUUAUUAUUUUUAAUUUUUUUGUACUGAUCGUAUUUUUUUAUUUCAAGUUUGCCUUUUAGCCAAUUAAAUUUUAUCAUGAUUGCUAAAUUGACAUUUGAAAGAAAUGAGAAUGUUCAAAUUUUGUGUUUGUGGAUUGUGGGGGAUAUUUAUAAUUAUAAGACUAAAUAAUGUGUUAGUAUCAACUUUUUUGUUAUGAUUGCAAGUAAAUAUCAUUUUGAUCAUUUCUUUUUUUUUUUUAAUUUAUGUUUUUGGCUACUUAUAAAAUAUAUGUAACCUCUUUAAUUUUUAGUAUUAGUUACUUUCAUCUUUUAAUAAUUUUUUAUUCUAAAAGUUAAAGGUAUAAUUUCUAUUGUCUAAUCUCUUAUUUAUUGUUUUUUGUAAGAAAAAAGUUAUUAAUAGCAUGUUCAUUUACUUUGGAUGAAUUUGUUUAAAAGGUUAAAAUUUUUUAUAUUAUUUCUUAGUUUCUUAUAAAAUUCAUACUAUAUUAUUUUAUAUUAAUUUUUAAGUUGUUAUAUUCAAUAAAUUUUCAUAUGAAUUACAUUAGAUAAGUAAAUAUAUACAUUAAUUUAAUUGGAAAUAAAAAAAAAUAUAGUUUUUUUCACAUAUUAUUUUACAAGUUCUAUGUUGAAACUAUUGUUUGAUUUUAUGUUAGUUAGCCUUUCUUAUUUUUCACAAUGUAGUUAUCUUAUUUUUGGUUUUUUUUUUUUAUGUUAAUUGUUAGAUUUCAGGUAGUUUUAAUCAAUUUUAUGUAAGUAACAUUGUUAGAUUUCAC
RNAcentral lists this long non-coding RNA (8463 nucleotides) under Durio zibethinus. Its description in RNAcentral is "long non-coding RNA (DZIB_LNC000208)". Lineage: Eukaryota; Viridiplantae; Streptophyta; Magnoliopsida; Malvales; Malvaceae. The record is from RNAcentral.